UACGGGGGGAGCAAGCGUUGUUCGGAUUUACUGGGCGUAAAGGGCGCGUAGGCGGCCACCGCAAGUCGACUGUGAAAUCUCCGGGCUUAACCCGGAAAGGUCAGCCGAUACUGCGGGGCUAGAGUGCAGAAGGGGCAACUGGAAUUCUCGGUGUAGAGGUGAAAUUCGUAGAUAUCGGGAGGAACACCAGUGGCGAAGGCGGCGAUCUGGGAAGAUACUGACGCUGAGGUGCGAAAGCGUGGGGAGCAAACAGG
RNAcentral lists this ribosomal RNA (254 nucleotides) under uncultured bacterium. RNAcentral's name for it is "partial 16S ribosomal RNA". It matches the Rfam family "Bacterial small subunit ribosomal RNA", at positions 524 to 776 of the family's 1533-position model. The record is from RNAcentral.